RNAcentral lists this ribosomal RNA (483 nucleotides) under uncultured bacterium. Its description in RNAcentral is "partial 16S ribosomal RNA". It matches the Rfam family "Bacterial small subunit ribosomal RNA", at positions 30 to 507 of the family's 1533-position model. The record is from RNAcentral.
UUGAACGCUGGCGGCAUGCCUUACACAUGCCAGUCGAACGGCAGCGCGGGAGCAAUCCUGGCGGCGAGUGGCGAACGGGUGAGUAAUACAUCGGAACGUGCCCAAUCGUGGGGGAUAACGCAGCGAAAGCUGUGCUAAUACCGCAUACGAUCUACGGAUGAAAGCAGGGGAUCGCAAGACCUUGCGCGAAUGGAGCGGCCGAUGGCAGAUUAGGUAGUUGGUGAGGUAAAGGCUCACCAAGCCUUCGAUCUGUAGCUGGUCUGAGAGGACGACCAGCCACACUGGGACUGAGACACGGCCCAGACUCCUACGGGAGGUAGCAGUGGGGAAUUUUGGACAAUGGGCGAAAGCCUGAUCCAGCCAUGCCGCGUGCAGGAUGAAGGCCUUCGGGUUGUAAACUGCUUUUGUACGGAACGAAACGGUCUUUUCUAAUAAAGAAGGCUAAUGACGGUACCGUAAGAAUAAGCACCGGCUAACUACGUG